GUGACAUCCCCAAAAUCCGGGGGUCUGGAUUUGGUGCCACUAAAAGAAAAUCAUUUGAAAACCUGUAUUUGCGGAAAAAGGUAAAAACAGAUAUUUGAAAAUCUGAACAUUUAAAAGAGAUUUAAAUCAAAACCACUUUGACCCCCUAAAACAGGAUCGCUAAUAGGUUACAACACUGAAAUCAGAAACCAAAACUUCUUAUCUUAUUACAACUUAAACUACAUUAUCAAUUAAACCUCGAUAAGAAGAAUAACUGAUAACCAAAUAAAUAAAUCUAUUUACAACUGAACUGAAAUAGAACAAUUCUAAC
RNAcentral lists this long non-coding RNA (310 nucleotides) under Daucus carota (carrot). RNAcentral's name for it is "long non-coding RNA (DCAR_LNC007306)". The record is from RNAcentral. Lineage: Eukaryota; Viridiplantae; Streptophyta; Magnoliopsida; Apiales; Apiaceae.